Molecule: non-coding RNA, 28 nt
Filed under: Mus musculus (house mouse)
Lineage: Eukaryota; Metazoa; Chordata; Mammalia; Rodentia; Muridae
Source: RNAcentral
UGGUAUCGUGAAAGAUAGUCUUGAGGGA